Molecule: long non-coding RNA, 1037 nt
Filed under: Cyanistes caeruleus (blue tit)
Lineage: Eukaryota; Metazoa; Chordata; Aves; Passeriformes; Paridae
Description: lncRNA (ENSCCEG00000013832.1)
Source: RNAcentral
GGAGUAAAAGGUUAAGGGGAAAAAGACACAACAGGGGAAAUUCUGAUUAGAUAUUAAGUUUUUUUUUGACUGUGACACUUGACAGAUAUUGUACCAGAUUUCCCACAGACUUCUAAUAUAUUUGUCCUUGGAGAUAUUCUUGACUGUAAUGAAAAAUUCCCUUAUUUCUCUAAACUGGCUCAUGUUUGAGCACUAUGUGGAUCAGUUGAUACCCUGAGGACCAUUGGAACCUGCAUCAUUCUAUGGAUGGGUAAGAGUCAGAGGAAUGCAUAUGCAAAGUGGUGAAAAUCAAGAUUAGUGGGACAAAUUCUCUAGCAAGUUUUGAUCUUUGGUCUUUCAUUGCACAGAAUAAAUUGCUUAAAAGAAAAUUUCAGCAAAACAACAAUACCAAUUGAAAUUCCCUCCAGUGACAUACAAUUGAUUGCUGCUGAAAAAAAAGUAUUAUAGGUCCUGUCGACCCUAUUUUUUAAAAAGGCUGUAAAGUAAUAUAGAACUGAAGAACUACACAUUCUGCAAACUCUCCUCAGAACCAUCGUCCCUGUGUGAACUGUUGCAUACAGAUGCCAUUCCUGGAAAAGGAAGGUAAGGAAUUUACUGGACAGAAUUAAAAGGACCAAAGAUAACAUUUAAAAGUUAUGGGCUUUGCUUCUCAUACUUGAGGAGCUGAGUGAAUGAGAUGAGUCCACUGGUGUGAGUGGAGGAGGCACAUUCCAGGGUCAGGCCUUUGGUGAUGACAGUUUCUGUGCUUUCAUGAAGCAUCAGCUGUGAUUGUUGGAAUCUUUAACAAGGAUCUUUAUUCACUUCACAAGGUGUUGUGGUCUUUAGCCUGUCCUUGAAUUCACCUGAUUCUGCAGACAGAUCUGAAUUGGAUGUUGCAAACUUGGAACUUGGAAAUGGUCCCUGGAUUCCUGCAGUCAUGAAGAUUUUAUUUCUCCUACAGAAGGCAGGCUUAAAAUUUUAUAAAUGUAUAGAUUUUAUAUAUUUAUAAAUGCACAUUAAGGAGGCAGAUUAAACUUCGGCUGAUUUAUUAUUGUGAG